Long non-coding RNA from Felis catus (domestic cat), 526 nucleotides. RefSeq lists it as uncharacterized. The record is from RefSeq and is a predicted model, not a curated record. The transcript has 2 exons. Lineage: Eukaryota; Metazoa; Chordata; Mammalia; Carnivora; Felidae.
ACAUAUCUGCUGUCAAUUGAUUUUCAAUACAUGUGCCCAGACCAUUCAAUAGGGAAAGAAUAGUCUCUUCAACAAAUGGUUCUGAGAAACUGGAUACUGGCAUGCAAAAGAAUGACAUUGGAAUCUACCUCACCCCAUGGACAGAAGUUGACUCAAAUGGAGUAAAGGCCUAAAGGGACACAGAUGCCACUCCCAGCUUUGUCCCCUCUCUCUGAGCCACAAGGACCGUCAGGUGCUACAGAUAAAGAGACAUGGUCGCUGACUCUCAAUGCAGCAGCCCCUUGGGGACCACAGAUCUCAGAGCCAACAGCUGUUCUCAGGUCGUCGGAAGUGGUGAAGCUUCAAAAACACGCUUCCUCCCGCCUGGCAGAGCCCCUACCCGCAACCCACCUCAUUUCUGUGAGGCCUGUGUUUAGAGACCCACAGAUUCCUCAAGAUGCUUUUUAAGACUUCCUGCUCUUGGCUGGCAAAUUGUUAAUCAGUUUGUGGCAGCAUAAAUAAAAUUAGAGGGUUUAAUUAAAACUAA